AGUGAACGCUGGCGGUAGGCCUAACACAUGCAAGUCGAACGGCAGCACAGUAAGAGCUUGCUCUUACGGGUGGCGAGUGGCGGACGGGUGAGGAAUACAUCGGAAUCUACUUUUUCGUGGGGGAUAACGUAGGGAAACUUACGCUAAUACCGCAUACGACCUACGGGUGAAAGCAGGGGAUCUUCGGACCUUGCGCGAUUGAAUGAGCCGAUGUCGGAUUAGCUAGUUGGCGGGGUAAAGACCCACCAAGGCGACGAUCCGUAGCUGGUCUGAGAGGAUGAUCAGCCACACUGGAACUGAGACACGGUCCAGACUCCUACGGAAGGCAGCAGUGGGGAAUAUUGGACAAUGGGCGCAAGCCUGAUCCAGCCAUACCGCGUGGGUGAAGAAGGCCUUCGGGUUUUAAAGCCCUUUUGUUGGGAAAGAAAAGCAGCAGGUUAAUACCCCGCUGUUCUGACGGUACCCAAAGAAUAAGCACCGGCUAACUUCGUG
RNAcentral lists this ribosomal RNA (492 nucleotides) under uncultured bacterium. RNAcentral's name for it is "partial 16S ribosomal RNA". It matches the Rfam family "Bacterial small subunit ribosomal RNA", at positions 29 to 507 of the family's 1533-position model. The record is from RNAcentral.